GAGCGGCGGGUAGAAUCCUUUG
This 22-nucleotide small nuclear RNA is filed under the name Arabidopsis thaliana (thale cress). RNAcentral's name for it is "snRNA_09319". The record is from RNAcentral. Lineage: Eukaryota; Viridiplantae; Streptophyta; Magnoliopsida; Brassicales; Brassicaceae.